CCCUACACCAAUUCAUGGCUCUUGCAAUCUCGCUAGGUAUUCUUAAUUCACAAACGUUUUAGGCUAGAGCUAGUUGGAAAUUUAGUGUAUUUCCUCAACAGCUUGAUAAGUAAAAGGGCAGGAAAAUUAAGUGUUUGUCAUCUCCAUAUGCCUUGUAUCUUAGUUCCAUGUCGAAUAGUUUCUCACUGUUUAUAUUAAAGAACACCACCCAAUGGUUUGUCCCUUUGAUGGAUGGGAUUCCUUUAACUAUGAUGCAUAUUGUGUGGAACUAGAAAAACAUAACUGAGAGGUUAACAUGAAAUCAUUAGUAUACAAAAAUUUAAAUUUCAAAUGGAUUUUUGUAUUAUUAAUGCACUUUUCAAGUGUUUCUUCUCAGAAAUUUGAGAGAAGGAGAAAACAAAAGAGGAGCAAUCUAAGGAGAUCCAAAUUUUGUUUUGGAGACAAGAAGGAAAGGAAGAAGCAGAUAAGCAAUAAAUAAGAAGAUGAAGAGGUAAUAUACAAUAUACUUUGGUUUGUUUUCUUAAGAUUUCACGGGAUGUGUCAAUGACACUAUCUAGAAGAUUCUCAUAUGCUCUUUUUGUUUUUAAUCCAAAACUGGUAAUCCUUGAUGACUUUGUGGAGUGAUUAAGUGCAUAUCAGCAGCGUGAGUUUUUAUUUGUUAUAAUCAUUCUACUGCUAUUUAACCAAAUCCUAUUAGCCAUAUAAUUUUAAUGAUUUUUGUACAAUGAAGUAUAGAAAGACAUACAAUUGUGCCAAUAAAAACAAAUCAGGCUGCAUUCAAUACCUGGUGUCAAUGAAUUACUAGAACCUUGUUUAUCUUCUUGUUUUUAUGCUUCCCCACAUGCACUUUUGCAUUCUCUCUAGUUGGAGAAUAUGUGCACCUCAGCAUGGUUUGUAAGCUUUUAAGGAAGAAUAGGACAAAACGAAUAUAGGUGUAUAUUUGCAAAUUCCAAUGCAAGCUUGAUAAGUAAGCUCUCAAAGUUAUUGUAUGUUAUCUUUAUCAUUUUUAUUUAAAAAUUGUAUGUACAUUUGAAAGCAUACUAUGCAUCUAUUUUACUGUUGAGGUUUAUAACUAUAUUUUGGUCUAAGUCUCAUGUGGCUAAUGUCUUGUAUUAGUGGUUCAAUAGUAAUUGAUGUUGUCUGGCUUAGCUCGUAGGAGUAUAUAAUAUGUGGGUUUAAGUUACAGUAAUAGAUAAUCUUGAUCAUUGAAGAUAAUUCUUUUUUAAAUUCUUUAAGUUAGAGAAUUGGUUUUCCACCAAACUUGAUUUAUUUUAUUGACAUUGCCAACAUACUUACAAAAAUCAUAUAAAAAAUGUUAAUAAAGAUUGAUCUUGUUGGUAAGAAUUUAAUGUAUUUUGUUGCUGAUGUGAAGUUUGUUUUGGUAGAAAAUUCUUGAGGUUUCUUUGACACUUGUGAUAUUUUUGAAUUUAACUUGUCUAAACUUUUUUCUCACAAAAGAAAAUCAUACCACGUGGCCUAUUAUAUUAGUUUAAAAAAAUAACAGUUUCUUCUCUUAUGUUCUCAAAUAACACAUCUGAAUUAGUCAAUUUAAACGUAUAUUUAAACAAAAAUAACACAUCCGGAUUGGUGAAUCCAGACAAACAUGGAAAAAUAAAUUUUAUUAAAAAUGGUCGGUAAAAGUAGGGCUGUGAAUGGUUGUUUUUUUUUUUUUUUAAACCAAAUCAUAUUGAUUUUAAAAUCAAUAUAUGGAUUUAGAUUUAUAACCAAAUCUAUUAUUUGGUUUAAAACCGGUUAUAAAAUCACUUGUAAAACUGGUUAUUGUUAAAUAACUGGUUUUUAAUUAAUCAAUCGAUUUUGAAAAAUUCAAUUUUAAAUUCGGUUUUUAUUUUUUUCCAAUUUUAUUUAUAAAAUAUUCCGAUAAAUUUUUUUUGAUAAAAAAUAAUUUAUAAUUAUUUUAAUUCAAGAAAAAAAUUUGAUUUUUUCGAUAAAUUAUUAAUUGAAAAUAACAAGAAUGAAGGAUAUGAGAAAGAGAGAGUAACUUGAACACAAAAUAGGACAGCUGCACAUUGAGAGAAAAAGAAGAAAAUUAUUUCUACCUAUCCACUAUAACAAAAGAUUAUUUCUACAUAUCCACUAUAACAAAAGAGCAAAAAAUUAAAGUUAUAAACACAAAUCCAAUAAAAAGGUAAUUAAAUCAAUCAUGUCAACAAUUCAAAUUAACUUAAAUUUUGAGAAAUAAUUUUCUAUUAUAUUUAAUCACUUAAAUAGGAACUUAGAAUACACAACGCAACAUAAUUAGAGUAAGAAGAUAGUAAAUAGUUAAUUAGUAACUUGAAAAAUAUGUACAGUUUUACAAAAGCAUACAUCACAUAACACAAUAAUAUAACGAGAAAAAAAAAACAUGAUAGUGAAAAUAAUUAAUACACAAUUGACACGACUGACAUUUGACUCAUAGUGAAUCGACACUCAACCCACUGGCAUGACUAGCAAUCAUGAGUGAGAUACCACACAAGAAAAAAGAUGGAAAAAAUGUAUUCCAUUCAUAAUAAGGCUCAAAAAACUCACAAACUUAUCACAAAUGAUACAUAAUUUAGCAUUUUAAUCCAAUUUAUUUUACCAAGAAUGAAUAGAUAAUAUCCAAUCAUGUCAGUUCAAACAAACUCUCAACAUUUACAACCAUAAAAUCAGAUGAAAAAAUACAUGCAGUGCAAUGUCCAUUUUUAUUAUUUUAUUUUAUUUUUAUGUUAUUUUUAUUUUAUUUUAUUUUUAUUUUACUUUUAUGUUUAUUUUGUUUUAUUUUGUUUUUUUGAAAUAUAACAAAUAAAAUCAUAAAACAAAUAAAAUCCUAAAUAAUACCACCACACUUAAAUUACACAUUGUCCUCAAUGAAAGUAACAAGUAUAAAAUAAAAGUAAGGAAAUGGAGCUCCUUGUUUAAACUUCAGUGUAGGUGGGCUUUUCCAAGGAGAGUUCUUCUAUGGUAGCAUCUUCAAGCACAGAGCUCUCAUGGAAUAGCUUGAGCCGUUGUCCAUUUACUUUGAACACUUUCUCGGUGUUUUCACUUUUUAUUUCCACUACACCAUGAGGAAAAUGUUAGUAACAACAAAAAGGCCAAUCCACUUCGAUUGAAGUUUCCCAGCCAUAAUUUUCAGACGGGAGUUGAACAAUAAAACUUUUUGGCAAAUGAAAAAUUCCUUCCUAGAAAUCAUCUUAUCAUGAAAGUACUUAGUUUUCUCCUUAUAGAUCUGAGAGUUCUCUAAGCUUCAAGUCUAAGCUCUUCAAAUUUUUGCAAUUGAACCAUUCUCUCCAAACCUACUUUCUCCAUCUCAAGGUUACAACUCUUGGCCUCCCAAUAAGCACGAUGCUCUAUUUCCAUUGCGAGGUGGCAUGCCUUACCUAACACAAGUCGAUAAGGGGACAUCCCUAUUGGUGUUUUGUAGGCUAUUCUAUGAGCCCAAAGAGCUUCUUCAAGUCGGUGGCUUCAGUCUUUCCCGUUUGGCUGCUCGAUCUUUUCUAAGAUCUAUUGAUUUCCCUGUUUGAGAUUUCAGCUUUCCCAUUAGUCUGGGGAUGAUAAGGUGUAGAAACUCUAUGCACAACCCAUACUUCCAAAGCAAAGCGUCCAUGGCGCGAUAGCAAAAAUGAAUGCCUUGAUCACUUAUGAAUUCCCGGGGUAUUCCAAACCUGCAAAAAAUAUUUGAUCUGAUAAAACCUGCAACAACUUUAGAAUCACUAGUCCUAGUGGGUAUUGCUUCUAUCCACUUCAAAACAUAAUCAACAACUAGUAAAAUAUAGACAAAACCAAAAGAUACAAAAAAAGGCCCAUAAAGUCAAUGCCCUACACAUCAAAUACUUCAUAGAAAAGCAUAGGUUGUUGAAGCAUUUCACUCCUACGAGUGAUUGUUGUUCCUGCUAUUUGGCACUGUUCACAAGUUUUGUAAGUCUCAAAAGUAUCUUUAAACAAAGUGGGCGAAAAGAAACCCGAGUCUAGGACUUUUCUUGCUGUCCGUUGAGGACCAAAAUGUCCUUCAGUUUGAGAGGCAUGACAAAAAUGAAGAAUGGAUUAAGCCUCAUGGUGAGAAACACAUCGCCUAAUCACCUGGUCACUACAGAAUUUCCAUAGAUAUGGAUCAUCCCACACAUAGUAUUUGACAUCACUUUUAAGUUUGUGUAUUUGUGUUCAGGAUGCAUCUACAGAAAAGACUCCGACAACUAGAUAAUUAACUAAAUCAGCAAACCAAGGAGUUACCUCACGCAACUGUAGCAGUUGCUCAUUAGGAAAGUCAUCUUGAAUUGGAAUGGGAUCCUCGUCCAUUUCUAUUCUGCUCAAAUGAUCUACCACCAAAUUUUCUGCUCCACUCUUAUCUUUAGUCUCUAAAUCAAAUUCUUGGAGUAACAACAUCCACCAGAUCAAUCUCGAUUUUACUUCUAGUUUCUUCAGCAAGAACUUCAAAAUUGCAUGGUUAGUAAAAUCAACCACCUUUGAACCUAACAAAUAUGAUCUAAACUUAUCAAGUGCAAAAACAAUAGCUAAAAGUUCCUUUUCAGUGGUAGUAUAAUUAGCAUGUGUAGAAUCUAAAGUCCUAGAAGCAUAAUAAAUAACAUGGGCAGCCUUGCCAACCCUUUGUGCAAGGACUGCUCCCACUACAUAGUUAGAUGCAUCACACAUAAUUUCAAAAGGGAGGAUCCAAUUUGGUGGCUGAAUUAUGGGAGUAGAGGUUAGUGCUGCCUUUAAGAAAUCAAACGCCUUCUUGCAUUUGUCAUCAAAGGUGAAACUGAUAUCUUUUUGCAGCAAAUUUGACAAUGGAAGGGCUAUCUUAUUGAAAUCCUUGAUAAAGCGCCGAUAAAAACCUGCAUGGCAAAUAAAAAAAAUUAAUCUCGCAGAUGCAAGAUGGGUAAGGCAAAUUAGAAAUGACAUCAAUCUUGGUAGGAUCCACUUCUAUCCCAUUUUUAGAGAUCACAUGUCUCAAAACUAUGCCUUGUUCAACCAUAAAAUGAUAUUUUUCAUAAUUCAGCACAAGGUUAGUUUCAUUACAUCUAUGCAAAUCUCUAUCUAAAUUGUUCAAGCAUGCAUCAAAUGAGGAACCAUACACAUUAAAAUCAUCCAUGAAAACUUCAAUACAAUUUUCUAUCAAGUUAGAGAAAAUAUUAACCAUGCAGCGUUGGAAAGUGCCAAAAGCAUUGCAUAGGCUAACGAGCAUCAUCCUAUAUGAAAAUGUGCCUAAAGGGCAAGUGAACGUGGUAUUUUCUUGGUCCUCUAGUGCAACAUAGAUAUGAAAAUAACCAAAAAAAUCAUCAAGACAACAAUAAUGUGACUUACCAGCCAACCGUUCAAGCAUCUAAUCAAUGAAUGGUAAAGGAAAAUGAUCUUUUGUAGUUGCCUAGUUUAGUCCUCUGUAAUCAAUGCAUACCCUCCAGUUGUUCUGCACUCGUGUGGGGAUAAGUUCAUUAUUUUCAUUUUUAACCAUCGUGAGUCCAACUUUCUUAGGGACUACCUGCACCAGACUCACGCAUUAACUAUCAGAGAUGGGGUAUAUAAUGCCUGCUUGCAAGAGCUUGAUCACUUCCUUUUUUUGCAACAUCCAAAAUUAAUGGGUUAAGUCUCCUUUGGGGCUGCCUGACUGAUUUUACCCCAUCCUCCAGUAGUAUCCUAUGCAUACACAUGGAUGGGCUAAUACCAGGAAUAUCAGCCAAGGUCCACCCGAUUGCCUUCCUGUGUUUUCUCAAAAUCUGCAACAACUUCUCUUCUUGUUCAUCUUCAAUUUUGGCUGAAAUAAUCACAAGUAACUUGCUACUUCCUUCUAAAUAUGCAUAUUUCAAAUUUUCAGGAAGUGGUUUAAGCUCUAUUGUCGGUGGCUGUUCAAUGGAGGGAACAACACCAGUGGCCGAAGCUAAGUUUGCAAAAUCAAUUUUGUUAGUAGAAAUAUCAAUAUUAGCACAAUGAUCAACUUGUAAGGCAACUUCAAUCUCAGCACACACAUAUCACAAUUGAGUAUCUGUACAUAAUUCACAAGUAUAAGUAUCAUCAAAACCAGAAAAUGAAGGAAAAUCAGUAGCAAACAUAUCGGGGUAAAGUUUACAAAGAUGUUAAAUUUUACAAUGCUAUCACCAAAUUGAAUUAUAACACCUGUUGUGGUGAAACUGAAUGAUAACAAGUAUAUCCUCCACAAGUCCAGUAGGACGAGCAUCGCUUAUGUUCGCCAAUUGAAUGGUAACACCUGUACUCUGUAAAGCUCUAAGAGCAAGAGAGUUAAAAAUAGAUGUAGGCAUAACAUUAAUGGAAGCUCCUAAAUCUAACAUAGCAUUUUCAAAUUGACUAUUGCCUAUGGUACAUGGAAUGGAAAAAGUUCCUGGAUCUUUGCAUUUCUGGUGCAUGGGAUGAAUGAGGGCUGAAACAUUUCGCCCCAUGUUUACCCUUUCAUUACCUUUUAACCUUCUCUUGUGUGUGCAUAAAUCUUUUAGAAAUUUUGCAUAUCUUGGAAUUUUUUUAAUUGCUUCAAGGAGGGGAAUGUUCACUUCCACCUUCCUAAAUGUAUCCAAGAUCUCCUUGUCCUUAUCUGUCUCGUCCAUUUUCUUAGUCUUCACUGCCCUUUGAGGAAAAGGAAGUGGAAUAUUUUGCUCAACAUCAACAGUUUCAGGUAUAAAAGUGUCCUCAACAACCUUGUUAUUUUUCACUGUAGUUUUAGGUACCUUUGGUAUUUCAACAGCUUUCCCAUACCUCAAUGUAAUUGCACUGACAUUGGGAGCAUUUGGAUUUACCAUUGGCUGUGCAGACAAUUUAUUUGACCCCUAAGUCUGCAAUUGAUUAAUUGAAGUGGCUAGCUGACCAAUCUUUGUUUCCAAAUUUUGAAUGGUGGAAUCUGUUCUUUGUUGAAAUUGGAGAUUUUGGACAGCCAUCUGCUUAAUGAGGUCCUCUAAUGAAGGUGCAUUGUUUUGCUGUUGUGGAACGUUUUGUUGUUGUUGUUGCUGCUGCCUAGGUUGUUGUUGUGCAGAUGAAUUCCUCCUUCUCAGGUUGGGGAUGGUUUCUUCAACCAAGAUUGUACCUAUUAGAUGACAUAUCAUAGUUGGCUUGUGGAUUGCACAUAUUUGCUACAUAUGCUUUAGGAGCAUCCGCAAUUGGAUCUUCUUGCAAUGUAGGACAUGAAUCUGAAGGAUGCUUUGGAGAAGUGCAAAUACCACAGACCACUGCUUGGGUUUUACCUAUUGUCAAUUUUUUUACUAAAGAUGUAAGCUCAUCAAGUCUGCCUUCUAAAUUCUUGUGGGAAGAAGCUUGAAUUUCAUUCACACUCCUUGUCAACACUUUUGAAUGGCUUCUAGUUGUAAACUUCUGAGAAUUAAUGGAUAUGUUCUGAAUCAAAGCCUUUGUCGCUUCUGGGGUCUUAUCGACAAGUGCUUUCCCACUAGCAUCAUCCAAAAUGCUUUUAUCCAUAGGUAGCAAGCCUUCAUAAAAAUAAUGGAUGAGCAAUUGUUCAGAAAUCUGGUGAUGAGGACAACUAGACACUAAUUUCUUGAAUCUCUCCCAAUACUCAUGUAAUGAUUCCCUGUCAAUAUGCCUGAUGCCACAUAUUUCUUUUCUGAUUGAAGCAGCUCGUGAGGCAGGGAAGAAUUUUUCUAGAAACAAUAUCUUGAGAUCAUUCCAACUUAUAACAGAACCUGGUUGAAGGUAGUAUAACCAGUCCUUGGCAGCAUCUUGGAAUGAAAAUGGGAAGGCUCUCAGCUUAAUGUGAUCUUCUGUGACUCCUUGAGGCUUCAUCAUAGAACACACAACAUGGAAUUCUUUCAAGUCUUUGUGGGGAUCCUCACCUGCAAGACCAUUAAACUUUGGAAACAAGUGUAUUAAACCAGAUUUAAGUUCAAAUGGUACAGUAACUUCAGGAUAUGUGAUACACAAUGUGUAAGACCCUUAGUUUUAGAUUCUAAUUUACGUAUUUUGAUAUAUUUUUGUGUUUAAUUGUUGUGACGUUUAACUCAAUUUUACUUUAUUUUGGGAAUUAAGUACCAAAAAUAUAUUUUGUUAGAGUUUGUAAUAUGUUUAAUAUAUGGGUAUAUUUAUUUAUAUAUUUUGAGAUCCGCUUAAAAUUAUUUGUCGAAGAAUAAUUUGUUUACGUUACGAAAAAUUUAAUACCGGACAGUUUUGUUAAAAAUAUCACUCGUUGCUGAAAAUUUAUCUGUCAAUUUGAGUUGUGCAAGAGUAGAUAGUUUUAUCAAAAUAGUUGAGUAAAGUGAUCUGGUGUAAGAGUAUUUAAAUAUUUAUUGGUUUAGUUUUAAUUAUAAUAUAUAUAUAUUAUAAGUAACAUAUAUAUUGUUAGUAGUAAGUUAUAUAUAUGAAAACGUGAGAAAAGGAACAAAGGAAGAAAGCCAAAACGUUUCCUCCUGCCUCAGGAGAAAAUUUGUCUCCCUCGUUCUUCCUUCUUUUUCUUUUGCUUUCUUUUUCUUCAAGAAAAGAAACCCAAGUCUUGGUGGGUGAAAAAGAAAAGAUGUCCUAGCUUCCAUUUUCUUCUCUGAUUCAAAAACGAAGAAAAACGAUGUUAGGGGUUUUCAAAACCGUCAAACACAAAUCCUCAUUUUUCUUCGACAUUUGAGCUUCGUUUCGAGAAGUGAUAGAAGGGAAAGUUGUCUAUCUCCACGCUAUGGUGCUAGUGAGCCAACUUUGGAAGCGACGAUGCAAGCGAAGUUUUUACCGAAAUUAAUCGCAGUGUCGUAAUCGCUUGUUAAAGCUACUGUUAAGGUAAUGGCUCCUUCCAAAUUUUUAGGUUGCACAUAGGAUGCUAUAUGUGUAUUUGUAGAGUUGGAAUUUGGUGAAAUUGAUGGGUGAUUUUGUGGAAAAGGAAUUUAAUUCAUUUAUGUGUGUUUUGAGGAAAUUAAAAAUUGAUGUGUUUGAAGUGUGGUUUUGUGAAAAUUAAUUUUGCGUGACUUAUAUUUGAAAAUGUGGAAAUUUAUGGGUGAUUGAUGAUUGAACUUGUUGUGGAUUUUGUGGAAUUUGAAUUGAUUGAAUUUAAUUUAAAUUGUGGAUUAAAUUUGAUGUGUGGUGGUGGAAAAUAUAUGUUUGAGUAUGCUUUGUGUUGAAUUUGAAAAUCAUUAGUGUUAAAUGAGUAUUAAAAACGGGGAAUCUUUUAAUAUUUGUAUUUACUUAAUGAUUGUUGUGGAAAGAGUCAGAAGAUGCUCAUGCAUUUCAUAGUACAUAGUGACCGCGAUGGGGCCAUGGUGAUAGUGGUGACUAUGAUGGGCCACGAGAUGAUGCCAUGUAAUCUGUUGGUUCAUCUUAUCCUUGCGGAGAUUUUCGCUUCGUGUAGGUCCGUGAUAGACUGCACAUUUUUAGUAAAUCGUGUUGACCCCUGAUAGGUGGCACAUCGGUAAAUAGUACUGGUCUGUGAUAUGCGGUACAUUUACGAUUUACGUUUUUUAGUAAAUCGUGCUGACCUGUGAUAGGUGACAUCUUGUUAAUUAGUAUUGGUCUGUGAUAGGCGGUACCAUUAUGAUUUACACUCCUUCGAGGAGGGCUUUGGUUUGAAUUCUGGAAUCAUGCAUUUUGACAUAUACGCAUUGCAUUAGGGUGUUUGGCACACGAGUCAUGUUUAUUAUACGAUGAUGGUUGUAUAAACAUACUUGGUUGUUGUUUGUGAUUGUGUCGUAAUUGAUGCGUGUGAAUGAUUGACUUUGUUUGUUAAGUGUUGAAUGAUUUCGAAACGUUUUCGAGAAUGAAAUCUGCAAAUUUUAGCAGUUGUAUUCGGCUACAAGCAGUGUGUAGUCGGAUACAUAUGUAAAACGUUCAGUUUUUAGUGAAAUUUUAGCCUUGUAUUUGAAUACAAGAUGUUGUAUUCGAAUACAUAUAUUCAAUUUUUUCCACUGACUUAGCACUUGUAUUCGGCUACGCCAUGUGGUAGUCGAAUACAGUUGUGCAAGAUUUUUCACUAUUUUCGCACUUGUAUUCGACUACAAGGAUGUUGUAGUCGAAUACAGUUGUGUUGUUUUUGCUACUGACUUACAAAAUAGCACUGUAUUUGAAUACAAAGAUGUUGUAUUCGAAUACAGUUGUGCUGAUUUUGCUACUGACUUGUGAAUUAGCACUGUAUUCGAAUACAAGGAUGGUGUAUUCGAAUACGACAGUGCAGUUUUGUCAAAAACUUCAUUUUUCAACUUGUUUAUGCAUGUUUGACAUAUGAAAACCCUUUCAAGGAGUAUGCUAAGAUGAAAGGUUAUUUUGUGCAUCUCAAAUUUAAAUGCUAAGUGAUAUUUGUUAAUUUCGGUUGGUGACCUUUACAAUUAUUGUGGAAAUCUGGGUUUUGCCCUCAAGUGAGAACCAGGAUCAUCCUACCAGUUAGUACCCUGGAGAUGGGAAGGUAGUUAGAUAUACCUGACCGAAGCUGUGUUAGGAGGAUUUUGUGGGGAGCGUGGAGAUCACUAGGGUUGUAUAGUUUUUUGUAGCAUGAUCAAAUUAGAUGGUUGUAUAGGGGUUAGAUGUCUUUCUUUUGUGGAAGUAUUUAUUUCAAUUUGGAAGAAUGUACCUAUACCUCAUAUUGUCAUCUUGACUUUUAUUUUGAUGGGUCCUUGUACCACUUCUGAUGUGGCAUGAGGAAUGUAAAAUUCUUGGGGCAGUACUUUUGUACGCGUGUAUGCCGAGAAUACCCCAGGGGUAUGAGCUAUGUCUGAUAGGUCUUAUAGUCCCAGUGUAUUUUUGCUGUUUAAAUACUUUGAAUUUUUGUUUCAAAAACUAUUUCCGCUGCUGGUAAAUAUUGUUGACUUUUGUCGUUGUGUUACGACUUAAAUAUUUAUCCAAAAAUAUUUCUUUCUUAAUAUCUAAUAUUUGAAUUUCGAUUUUUGUUUUUUUUUUAAAAAAAAAUGGGUUGUUAUACAAUGUAUUAUAAUUGACAUCAGGUGCAACAAGUUGUCUUAAGGUUCUAUUAUUCGCAUCAACCAUAUAUUGUAGCAAGUUUUCAAUUUCAGUAUCUGACUCUGACUCGUUAACACUAAUAGCUCUAUUAAGUAUACGACGUAAAUGAAAUGUCCUAUCUAUUCUAGGUUUAAGAGAAUGCAAAUUUGCAGAACUAUCCCUUGUCAUGCAUCAUCAUAACAAUGCAAUGCAAAAUCACAAUUCUGAAAAUUUUAACAAUGUCCCUAUUUCUAAAUUGAAGUGAAAAUUAAAAAACCUUAUCAAAUAAAAUCCAAAAAAAUAUAAAAAUUCCACCAAAAUUUUCUAAAAAUCAACUAACGACAACGCAAAUUUUUCUGGAAUUUUUGGAGAAUAAGAAAUAUUGAAAAAAUUGAAAAAAGGAUCUAAACGAAGGAAUUUGAGA
Molecule: long non-coding RNA, 11251 nt
Filed under: Cicer arietinum (chickpea)
Lineage: Eukaryota; Viridiplantae; Streptophyta; Magnoliopsida; Fabales; Fabaceae
Description: long non-coding RNA (CARI_LNC002854)
Source: RNAcentral